GCUGUCGUCAGCUCGUGUUGUGAAAUGUUGGGUUAAGUCCCGCAACGAGCGCAACCCUUAUCCUUUGUUGCCAGCGGUCCGGCCGGGAACUCAAAGGAGACUGCCAGUGAUAAACUGGAGGAAGGUGGGGAUGACGUCAAGUCAUCAUGGCCCUUACGACCAGGGCUACACACGUGCUACAAUGGCGCAUACAAAGAGAAGCGACCUCGCGAGAGCAAGCGGACCUCAUAAAGUGCGUCGUAGUCCGGAUUGGAGUCUGCAACUCGACUCCAUGAAGUCGGAAUCGCUAGUAAUCGUGGAUCAGAAUGCCACGGUGAAUACGUUCCCGGGCCUUGUACACACCGCCCGUCACACCAUGGGAGUGGGUUGCAAAAGAAGUAGGUAGCUUAACCUUCGGGAGGGCGCUUA
This 408-nucleotide ribosomal RNA is filed under the name Escherichia coli. Its description in RNAcentral is "bacterial SSU rRNA". It matches the Rfam family "Bacterial small subunit ribosomal RNA", at positions 1048 to 1456 of the family's 1533-position model. Lineage: Bacteria; Pseudomonadati; Pseudomonadota; Gammaproteobacteria; Enterobacterales; Enterobacteriaceae. The record is from RNAcentral.